Molecule: ribosomal RNA, 468 nt
Filed under: uncultured bacterium
Lineage: Bacteria
Description: partial 16S ribosomal RNA
Rfam family: Bacterial small subunit ribosomal RNA
Source: RNAcentral
GACGAACGCUGGCGGCGUGCUUAACACAUGCAAGUCGAACGGAAAGGCCCUGCUUUUGUGGGGUGCUCGAGUGGCGAACGGGUGAGUAACACGUGAGUAACCUGCCCUUGACUUUGGGAUAACUUCAGGAAACUGGGGCUAAUACCGGAUAGGAGCUCCUGCUGCAUGGUGGGGGUUGGAAAGUUUCGGCGGUUGGGGAUGGACUCGCGGCUUAUCAGCUUGUUGGUGGGGUAGUGGCUUACCAAGGCUUUGACGGGUAGCCGGCCUGAGAGGGUGACCGGCCACAUUGGGACUGAGAUACGGCACAGACUCCUACGGGAGGCAGCAGUGGAGAAUAUUGCACAAUGGGCGGAAGCCUGAUGCAGCAACGCCGCGUGCGGGAUGACGGCCUUCGGGUUGUAAACCGAUUUCGCCUGUGACGAAGCGUGAGUGACGGUAAUGGGUAAAGAAGCACCGGCUAACUACGUG